RNAcentral lists this ribosomal RNA (154 nucleotides) under Kalanchoe stearnii. RNAcentral's name for it is "5.8S ribosomal RNA". It matches the Rfam family "5.8S ribosomal RNA". Rfam says of the family: 5.8S ribosomal RNA (5.8S rRNA) is a component of the large subunit of the eukaryotic ribosome. Lineage: Eukaryota; Viridiplantae; Streptophyta; Magnoliopsida; Saxifragales; Crassulaceae. The record is from RNAcentral.
AACGACUCUCGGCAACGGAUAUCUCGGCUCUCGCAUCGAUGAAGAACGUAGCGAAAUGCGAUACUUGGUGUGAAUUGCAGAAUCCCGUGGACCAUCGAGUCUUUGAACGCAAGUUGCGCCCGAAGCCAUUAGGCCGAGGGCACGCCUGCCUGGG